RNAcentral lists this ribosomal RNA (393 nucleotides) under uncultured bacterium. Its description in RNAcentral is "partial 16S ribosomal RNA". It matches the Rfam family "Bacterial small subunit ribosomal RNA", at positions 523 to 918 of the family's 1533-position model. The record is from RNAcentral.
AUACGGAGGACGCGAGCGUUAUCCGGAUUCAUUGGGUUUAAAGGGUGCGCAGGCGGCCGUGCAAGUCAGCGGUGAAAGCCCGGGGCUCAACCCCGGAAGUGCCGUUGAUACUGCAUGGCUGGAAUGCGGUCGAGGCGGGCGGAACGUGGCGGGGAGCGGGGGAAUGCGUAGAUAUGCCACAGAAAGCCGAUAGCGGAGGCAGCUCGCCAGGCCUGCAUUGACGCUCGGGCGCGAAAGCGUGGGGAUCGAACAGGAUUAGAUACCCUGGUAGUCCACGCCGUAAACGAUGGGCGCUCGUCGUCGGCGGCAGACAGUCGGCGGCCAAGCGAAAGCGAUAAGCGCCCCACCUGGGGAGUACGGUCGCAAGGCUGAAACUCAAAUGAAUUGGCGGGG